RNAcentral lists this ribosomal RNA (253 nucleotides) under uncultured bacterium. RNAcentral's name for it is "partial 16S ribosomal RNA". It matches the Rfam family "Bacterial small subunit ribosomal RNA", at positions 524 to 776 of the family's 1533-position model. The record is from RNAcentral.
UACAUGUGGGGCAAGCGUUGUUCGGAAUUACUGGGCAUAAAGGGUGCGUAGGCGGCUUGUUAAGUCAGGGGUGAAAGUUUUCGGCCCAACCGGAAAAUUGCCUUUGAUACUGGCGAGCUCGAGUGCGUGAGGGGUAACCGGAACGAGCAGUGUAGCGGUGAAAUGCGUAGAUAUUGCUCGGAAGGCCAACGGCGAAGGCAGGUUACUGGUACGCAACUGACGCUGAGGCACGAAAGCAUGGGUAGCGAAAGGG